GUGGGUACGGCCCAGGGGGGGGGAGAGGGACGCACCCUGGGCCCCAGGGAGCCCAGGGUGCAGCCGGACUGACCGAGCCCCUGUGCCGCCCCCAG
MicroRNA precursor from Loxodonta africana (African savanna elephant), 95 nucleotides. Ensembl annotates it as microRNA 1225. NCBI's taxonomy places the organism in Eukaryota, Metazoa, Chordata, Mammalia, Proboscidea, Elephantidae. The record is from Ensembl.